CAAAGAAAUCACAUCAGUCCGGGCGUGGUGGUUCAUGCCUGUGAUCCCAGCACUCUGGGAGGCCGAGGCCGGUGGAUCACCUGAGGUCAGGAGUUCGAGACCAGCCUGGUCAACAUGGCGAAAUCCCAUCUCUACUGAAAAUACAAAAAUUAGCCGGGCCUCUUGAUGUAUACCUGUAAUCCCAGCUACUCUGGAGGCUGAGACAAGAGACUCGCUUGAACCCAGGAGGCAGAGGUUGCAGUGAACCAAGAUUGCACCACUGCACUCCAGCCUGGGCGACAGAGUGAGACUCCAUCUCAAAGGAAAAAAAAAGAUGAAAAACCCCACAUCGUCUGUCCCUGCACCUCCCAUAGACUGGCUUUGCUGACUCAGUCUCAUGGGAUUGUUCCCUGAGGCUCAAGAGGUCAGGAGGCCCAGGUGAACGAGGUGGUCUUCAGCCCCGGGGAGUCCCACUGCGCCACAUGCAGUGAGGAUGGGAGUGUGCGGGUGUGGGCCUUGGCCAGCAUGGAGCUUGUGAUCCAGUUCCAGGUGCUGAACCAGAGCUGCCUCUGCCUGGCAUGGAGCCCCCCGUGCUGUGGCCGCCCUGAGCAGCAGCGGCUAGCGGCUGGCUACGGUGACGGCUCCCUGCGCAUCUUCAGCAUCUCCCGCACGGCCAUGGAGCUCAAGAUGCACCCCCACCCGGUGGCGCUGACCAGUGUUGCCUUCUCCACUGACGGUCAGACUGUCCUCUCUGGAGACAAGGAUGGGCUCGUGGCUGUGAGCCACCCCCGCACAGGGACAACCUUCCGUGUGCUGAGUGACCACCAGGGCGCCCCAAUCUCUACCAUCUGUGUCACGUGCAAAGAGUGUGAAGACUUAGGGGUGGAGGGCACAGACCUAUGGCUGGCUGCCAGUGGGGACCAGCGGGUCAGCGUCUGGGCCUCCGACUGGCUGCGGAACCGCUGUGAGCUUGUGGACUGGUUGAGUUUCCCAAUGCCUGCCACCACGGAGGUAAACCAUGCUCCUGGCACUGUGGGUGGGGCCGGUACCCAUCCACCCCACCGCAGCAUGCUGCGCCUUUGCAGACUCAGGGCCACCUGCCACCCUCCCUCGCUGCCUUCUGCCCUUGGGAUGGGGCGCUCCUGAUGUACGUGGGCC
Molecule: small RNA, 1137 nt
Filed under: Pan troglodytes (chimpanzee)
Lineage: Eukaryota; Metazoa; Chordata; Mammalia; Primates; Hominidae
Description: processed transcript
Source: RNAcentral